RNAcentral lists this ribosomal RNA (253 nucleotides) under uncultured bacterium. RNAcentral describes it as "partial 16S ribosomal RNA". It matches the Rfam family "Bacterial small subunit ribosomal RNA", at positions 524 to 776 of the family's 1533-position model. The record is from RNAcentral.
UACAGAGGGUGCGAGCGUUAAUCGGAAUUACUAGGCGUAAAGCGCACGUAGGUGGCGACGUAAGUCGGGUGUGAAAACCCCGUGCUCAACCUGGGAAUUGCAUUCGAGACUGCAUUGCUGGAGUACGGAAGAGGAGGGCGGAAUUCCCGGUGUAGCGGUGAAAUGCGUAGAUAUCGGGAGGAACAUCAGUGGCGAAGGCGGACCUCUGGUUCAGUACUGACACUCAAGUUACAAAGCGUGGUUAGCUAACAGC